Molecule: ribosomal RNA, 497 nt
Filed under: uncultured bacterium
Lineage: Bacteria
Description: partial 16S ribosomal RNA
Rfam family: Bacterial small subunit ribosomal RNA
Source: RNAcentral
GACGAACGCUGGCGGCGUGCCUAAUGCAUGCAAGUUGAGCGCUGAAGGUUGGUACUUGUACCAACUGGAUGAGCAGCGAACGGGUGAGUAACGCGUGGGGAAUCUGCCUUUGAGCGGGGGACAACAUUUGGAAACGAAUGCUAAUACCGCAUAAAAACUUUAAACACAAGUUUUAAGUUUGAAAGAUGCAAUUGCAUCACUCAAAGAUGAUCCCGCGUUGUAUUAGCUAGUUGGUGAGGUAAAGGCUCACCAAGGCGAUGAUACAUAGCCGACCUGAGAGGGUGAUCGGCCACAUUGGGACUGAGACACGGCCCAAACUCCUACGGGAGGCAGCAGUAGGGAAUCUUCGGCAAUGGACGAAAGUCUGACCGAGCAACGCCGCGUGAGUGAAGAAGGUUUUCGGAUCGUAAAACUCUGUUGGUAGAGAAGAACGUUGGUGAGAGUGGAAAGCUCAUCAAGUGACGGUAACUACCCAGAAAGGGACGGCUAACUACGUG